This 308-nucleotide unclassified non-coding RNA is filed under the name Hevea brasiliensis (rubber tree). Lineage: Eukaryota; Viridiplantae; Streptophyta; Magnoliopsida; Malpighiales; Euphorbiaceae. The record is from RNAcentral.
GAGGUGUAAUGCUAGCUGGUAACAAUUGACAAGGCCCUUCCUUAGACUAUGGGUCCUGAUAGUUCUAUCAUGAAUCAGGCUGAUGGUUGGUUGGUGUAGAUGGAACUCAGCGUUGACACUAUCACAUAUUCAAUGUCUGUGUAGGGUGCCAGUCAGUUUUGAUGCCUUCGACAUGUAGACGAACUAGCUUUUGAUGAUUCAGGUAUCAACAAUUGUAAAUUGCCUCAUGGUUUGUUAUGCACCAGGUCAAACUUUGUCUUAAGUUACUGUUUUAUCUAGUUGAAGAGGUGUAAUUGAUGAGAGGCCAG